UGCAAGUCGAGCGAGAAACUUUUGACUGAUCUUUCGAGUGAAGUCAGGGGUGGAAAGCGGCGAAAGGGAGAGUAACACGUAGAUCACCUGCCCUCGAGUCUGGGAUAGCCACGGGAAACUGUGGGUAAUACUGGAUAACGUCUCCGGACCAAAGAUUUAUUGCUCGAGGAGGGGUCUGCGUCCUAUUAGCUUGUUGGUGAGGUAACGGCUCACCAAGGCCAAAAUGGGUAGCGGGCGUGAGAGCGUGGCCCGUCUCACUGGGACUGAGACACUGCCCAGACACCUACGGGUGGCUGCAGUCGAGAAUCUUCCGCAAUGGACGAAAGACUGACGGAGCGACGCCGCGUGCGGGAUGAAGGCCUUCGGGUUGUAAACCGCUGUCAUAGGGGAGCAAAAUUUGAGCGAUCCUAAGAGGAAGCACAGGCUAAGUUCGUGCCAGCAGCCGCGGUAAUACGAACUGUGCGAACGUUAUUCGGAAUCACUGGGCUUAAAGGGUGCGUAGGCGGCUUUGUAGGUCAGGUGUGAAAUCCCACGGCUCAACCGUGGAACUGCGCUUGAAACCACAAGACUUGAGGGAGACAGAGGUGAGCGGAACUGAUGGUGGAGCGGUGAAAUGCGUUGAUAUCAUCAGGAACACCGGUGGCGAAAGCGGCUCACUGGGUCUCUUCUGACGCUGAGGCACGAAAGCUAGGGGAGCGAACGGGAUUAGAUACCCCGGUAGUCCUAGCUGUAAAC
Molecule: ribosomal RNA, 735 nt
Filed under: uncultured bacterium
Lineage: Bacteria
Description: bacterial SSU rRNA
Rfam family: Bacterial small subunit ribosomal RNA
Source: RNAcentral